This 786-nucleotide ribosomal RNA is filed under the name uncultured bacterium. Its description in RNAcentral is "bacterial SSU rRNA". It matches the Rfam family "Bacterial small subunit ribosomal RNA", at positions 60 to 840 of the family's 1533-position model. The record is from RNAcentral.
AGUCGAGCGGGGAGAUGUAGCUUGCUACAUUUCCUACGGCGGACGGGUGAGUAAUGCUUAGGAAUCUGCCUAUUAGUGGGGGGCAACAUUCCGAAAGGAAUGCUAAUACCGCAUACGCCCUACGGGGGAAAGCAGGGGAUCUUCGGACCUUGCGCUAAUAGAUGAGCCUAAGUCAGAUUAGCUAGUUGGUGGGGUAAAGGCCUACCAAGGCGACGAUCUGUAGCGGGUCUGAGAGGAUGAUCCGCCACACUGGGACUGAGACACGGCCCAGACUCCUACGGGAGGCAGCAGUGGGGAAUAUUGGACAAUGGGCGAAAGCCUGAUCCAGCCAUGCCGCGUGUGUGAAGAAGGCCUUUUGGUUGUAAAGCACUUUAAGCGAGGAGGAGGCUACUUAGAUUAAUACUCUAGGAUAGUGGACGUUACUCGCAGAAUAAGCACCGGCUAACUCUGUGCCAGCAGCCGCGGUAAUACAGAGGGUGCGAGCGUUAAUCGGAUUUACUGGGCGUAAAGCGUGCGUAGGCGGCUUUUUAAGUCGGAUGUGAAAUCCCUGAGCUUAACUUAGGAAUUGCAUUCGAUACUGGGAAGCUAGAGUAUGGGAGAGGAUGGUAGAAUUCCAGGUGUAGCGGUGAAAUGCGUAGAGAUCUGGAGAAUACCGAUGGCGAAGGCAGCCAUCUGGCCUAAUACUGACGCUGAGGUACGAAAGCAUGGGGAGCAAACAGGAUUAGAUACCCCUGGUAGUCCAUGCCGCAAAUGAUGUCUACUAGCCGUUGGAGACCUUUGAAGCUU